This 499-nucleotide ribosomal RNA is filed under the name uncultured Lachnospiraceae bacterium. Its description in RNAcentral is "bacterial SSU rRNA". It matches the Rfam family "Bacterial small subunit ribosomal RNA", at positions 15 to 507 of the family's 1533-position model. Lineage: Bacteria; Bacillati; Bacillota; Clostridia; Lachnospirales; Lachnospiraceae. The record is from RNAcentral.
UAUCCUGGCUCAGGAUGAACGCUGGCGGCGUGCUUAACACAUGCAAGUCGAACGGACUCAUAUUGAAACCUAGUGAUUUAUGAGUUAGUGGCGGACGGGUGAGUAACGCGUGGAAAACCUGCCGUAUACUGGGGGAUAACACUUAGAAAUAGGUGCUAAUACCGCAUAAGCGCACAGCUUCGCAUGAAGUGGUGUGAAAAACUCUGGUGGUAUACGAUGGUUCCGCGUCUGAUUAGCUUGUUGGCGGGGUAAUGGCUCACCAAGGCGACGAUCAGUAGCCGGCCUGAGAGGGUGAACGGCCACAUUGGGACUGAGACACGGCCCAAACUCCUACGGGAGGCAGCAGUGGGGAAUAUUGCACAAUGGGGGAAACCCUGAUGCAGCGACGCCGCGUGAGUGAAGAAGUAUUUCGGUAUGCAAAGCUCUAUCAGCAGGGAAGAAAUAGCGACCUUUGGGUCGCCAGACGGUACCUGACUAAGAAGCCCCGGCUAACUACGUG